GUGCGAGUGCCUCGCUUAGCAGCGCAGCUACCAUGCAGUCGAGCGGUAGAGAGAAGCUUGCUUCUCUUGAGAGCGGCGGACGGGUGAGUAAUGCCUAGGAAUCUGCCUGGUAGUGGGGGAUAACGUUCGGAAACGAACGCUAAUACCGCAUACGUCCUACGGGAGAAAGCAGGGGACCUUCGGGCCUUGCGCUAUCAGAUGAGCCUAGGUCGGAUUAGCUAGUUGGUGAGGUAAUGGCUCACCAAGGCGACGAUCCGUAACUGGUCUGAGAGGAUGAUCAGUCACACUGGAACUGAGACACGGUCCAGACUCCUACGGGAGGCAGCAGUGGGGAAUAUUGGACAAUGGGCGAAAGCCUGAUCCAGCCAUGCCGCGUGUGUGAAGAAGGUCUUCGGAUUGUAAAGCACUUUAAGUUGGGAGGAAGGGCAUUAACCUAAUACGUUAGUGUUUUGACGUUACCGACAGAAUAAGCACCGGCUAACUCUGUGCCAGCAGCCGCGGUAAUACAGAGGGUGCAAGCGUUAAUCGGAAUUACUGGGCGUAAAGCGCGCGUAGGUGGUUUGUUAAGUUGGAUGUGAAAUCCCCGGGCUCAACCUGGGAACUGCAUUCAAAACUGACUGACUAGAGUAUGGUAGAGGGUGGUGGAAUUUCCUGUGUAGCGGUGAAAUGCGUAGAUAUAGGAAGGAACACCAGUGGCGAAGGCGACCACCUGGACUAAUACUGACACUGAGGUGCGAAAGCGUGGGGAGCAAACAGGAUUAGAUACCCUGGUAGUCCACGCCCGUAAACGAUGGUCAACUUAGCCCGUUGGGAAGGCCUU
RNAcentral lists this ribosomal RNA (820 nucleotides) under Pseudomonas sp. SL6. RNAcentral describes it as "bacterial SSU rRNA". It matches the Rfam family "Bacterial small subunit ribosomal RNA", at positions 22 to 837 of the family's 1533-position model. Lineage: Bacteria; Pseudomonadati; Pseudomonadota; Gammaproteobacteria; Pseudomonadales; Pseudomonadaceae. The record is from RNAcentral.